AAAGACUGCGCCCGUCACGGAGCUGAGCCUGCCAGAUCUUUAUCUAUGGAAGGAUUUCCAGGAGGAAGGAACGAGCAAAGGGGGAGAUCCUGGAAAUCCAAAGCCUCCACCGUGGCAUCUGAAGCGGAAAACAACUUUAAGUGUAAACUCUCCUCAAACAAGGAAACAGGAAGAGAGUGCAUUCAAGAUCACCAUCCCCUGAGACAUUAGAUGGUACUUCUCAGCAUCUCGGUCCUUUCUCUGGUGUCAGUUCAAAUGGGUCACCAAGUGACUGGGCUCCCACUAACAAGAACCCGGAAGCAGAGAAAAAUCGUUGCUUUAGCUCUGGCUCUGAGAACCUCAUAACCUUCCUGACAAUCAAGCCCAUCAGGAAUCUCUUGGGAACUUGGAGGCCAUCACUGGGAUAACUUGACGGACAACAAAAGGCAAGAAUCUCCCUGUGCCAGUUGACACCAGGCUAACCACCAGCUAUCUAAGUGGUGUUAUUCCAUCUAGCACCAAGCCGUUG
Long non-coding RNA from Mus caroli (Ryukyu mouse), 508 nucleotides. RefSeq lists it as uncharacterized. The record is from RefSeq and is a predicted model, not a curated record. NCBI's taxonomy places the organism in Eukaryota, Metazoa, Chordata, Mammalia, Rodentia, Muridae.